Non-coding RNA from Nicotiana tabacum (common tobacco), 3232 nucleotides. The record is from RefSeq and is a predicted model, not a curated record. NCBI's taxonomy places the organism in Eukaryota, Viridiplantae, Streptophyta, Magnoliopsida, Solanales, Solanaceae.
UGAUUGGUAAUCUGCGUCGUGCCGCGAUGUUAAAUCAGGCGCUUCUUGAAAUGGAUGUGCAUUGCAAGGACUGUGCAUGAAAAAUUUGGCUAAGUGUCAAAGUGCAUAGUCUCUGAAGUUGGCCUGUCAAAAUGCUUAAGGAAUUGCGGCCGCACACAUUUUUAUGCUGUCCGCACUAAUGCUACGGCCGUACUCAUUUUUGUGCGGUCUGCAACCAGUCGUCUCAAGGGCAGGUAAGGAGUGCGGUUCGCAUCAAAAUUAUGCGGCCGCACUCAGGUAAAAAAUUGGGUCCCACGGGUAAAAGUAUAAAUAGGGCUUCCUGCAUCUUUUUAGACUUUUCGAUCUUCUAAGCCCUGAAGCUAAGCUUGCAAAGUAAUUUUUCCCCAUUGCUCUCAAAAUUUUCCCUCAUUUCAUCACCUGCAUCUUCAUUACUGGUAUGUUAAUUUCUUCAUUAGAUUCUUCAUCUUUUGUUUGCUUUUGCUCUUUGAUUUAGGGUUAAUUACAUGCUUAAAAUGUCAAUGUUUAGUUGUUUUUGCUUAGAAUCAUGAGGGUAGCUUUUCGAACGAUAAUUGGGGUUUGGGUAAGUAACUAAUAAUGUUUAAUUGCUAAAAUCAUGACAAUUUGAGGACAAAAUUGAAUAAACCCUAGGACAUGCCCAUAAAGUUUGAAUUAUGCGACGCACACAUUUUUUGUGCGGUCCGCAGUAGAGGCUAUGCGUCCGCACACACUUUUGUGUGGUCCGUAGACCUCUGAGUUAGGAUAAUGGCGUGCUUGGCUUGUGCGGCCGCACCCAAAAUUGUGCGGUCCGCAAUGGACUUGCGUGGCCGCACUCAUUUUUGUGCGAUCCACAGUGAUGAAAAUUCAGAGAACCUAGUAGUCUGAACCUGGGGCUGUGCAGUCGCAGACAAAAUUGUGCGGUCCGCACUUUUGGCUAUGCGUCUGAACUCAUUUUUGUGCGGUCCACACCGGGCAGACUGCGGCCGCACUCAGUUGUGCGGUCUGCAUUGCCCCUUCUAAGAAUGUUUUGUUGUAACAUUCUAUCAUGUUUAUGUAUGCAUUAUGAGCUUCAAUUGUAACUAAUUUCUAGUUCUUAUGGGUUGCAAACAAUGGUUCAAUCACGUGGCAAAGAAGAUAUAGCAAAAGGAAGGGCAGAACCCUCCCGAGGCCGGGGUCGAGGUAAAAGCAACCUCCUCUAGCACCUUAAAGAGUCAUAACCAAGAAACCAACCACAAGCAGAGCCCCUGAUACCUCGAAGACCAGUGAGUAUGUCCCAUCCGGGGAAGCUUCUGAGGGUAACUCCGUGCAAGCACAGUCGGAAGCCCAAUCACAACAAAUCCCAGGGAGAUUCCAUUUGGUCGAUGAGUCUUCUUCAGCUGCCAGUUCGUCUGAAGGCUCGAAAGAGUGUAGUCAAGAUUCUGAGCCCUCUUCCUCACAUGCUCCCCCUGCUCCAAUAAAUUUAGAUGAUGAUGAUGUUCCAGAUGAUGGGAGAGGGGGCGAUAUUGCAGUGGCCGGGUUAGAAAGAUCAAGGAGGCCAGAGAUAUGGGAGGACAAAUUUGUCAGUGCCAAUGCCUUUACCAAGUUUAGGGAAUGGUGGCCAUAGAGGUCGCUCACUCUUGAGCGACAAUUUUUGAUGAAAGAUUUGAACAAGCACAACCUCAAUGUCCUUAGGCAAUUCGAGGAGCGGAAAGGUUGGAAAUGGUUCACCAACACCAUCCUAGAUGCAAAUGAGUACCUAGUCAAGGAAUUCUAUGCAAAUGUUGCUCAUAUAAAAAAGGGUACUAAGGUGACAAAAAUGCAGAAUCUGAAAAUCCGCUUUGACCCCUGUGCACUGAAAAAAUAUGUGGGGUUUGAAGAAGUAGAAGUAGUGCAAUACUUGGAAAAACUAGCUAUGGGUGAUGCAACUCGUCCAUGGUUAGCUGAGAUUAUGGUCAACACCUCCGUGGCUCACAGCAAGGGUUCCAAUUAUCCGGGUCACCCUAAACUUUGAAGCAAAAGGGUGAAAAAUGUUCGUGUGUGGCCGCAUUGACCCAUGUAUCAAUGAAAACAUGCUCCGACUUCCCCGUGCAGUCUUGGUGGCUUCGAUUAUGGCCAGGUACCCGAUAAAUGUUGGUGCCAUCAUGUCCACCAACAUCACUCUAGUUGUCUAGAAGGAUGAAAGAUCCUAUCCAUACCCAAAAUUCCUCACUGAAUACUUCAAGGAUCAAGGGGUGGAGUCGAAGCAUUAUGAUACAGAAGUGAAGGCCGAGAAGCCUUUCUCCUGGUACCAUCUUCAGGGAGCUGACAACCCGAAAUCCAAGGGUAAAGCUACUACCUCCACUGGCCAGUCUGGAGAGCUAGCAAUAGUGGUUAUUGAUUCAGCUAUCAAGCCUUCCACAUCAGCCGGUACUUCCACCAGGACAACAACCAUGCCACCAUCUUCAUCCACCGGACCACCUGCUUCUGCGAGUCUAUCAAUGUCAUUGCCAGUGUCGGCUUCAUCUACAUAUUCUCAGACUGAGCUGUGAGUCUCCCAAACAUUGGUAAGCCUUAAUAACUGGAUGCAGGCAGCUAUUACAAAGAUAACUGCUAUAUCUAGUGAUGUUGCAGCAUAGUCCGCAGCCCCAGCAGAGCCAGAAGUACCUCCGUUAGUGGAGGAAACAUUGAAAAAGAUACUGGAAAACCAGAAAACCAUUAUGAAUACUCCAGUGGAGCAUGAGAAGGUCAUUGAGGACUUGAGAAAGCAAGUAAAAAAGAUGAAGAAGUCUCAAGUAUCGAAGAGAUCAGUGGACAAGUUGAUAAGGGAGGUCACUAAGUUUGCAUCUGCCGGAGAUCUGCCAUUGGACCUGCUUAUGGAGCCUUCAGUCCCAGCAGCAAAAGGCAGCACCAGAGGCAGCAGCCGGCCAGUCUGAGGAGCCGGUUGCCACUUCCCACACUGCUGAGGAGAUGAUCCAAAUGCUCAGCAACCCAGUUGUCCCUCAGCCAGGUGAUGAUGAGAUACAGCUUGAGGCCGAGGUUGCUGAUGAUCCUAUGCAUACUGAGAUCACAUAGGGAUUUCUCUCAACUAUAUGGCCCUUUCCCUGUUCUUAUUUUUGUUAAGCAUUGAGGAUAAUGCUUAUUUUCAUUUGGGCGGGGGUGGUCUAUUUUGAUUAUUUGACAUUUGGGUUGUAAUAACUCUGAUACUAUUUUUUUCAUCUUUAUUUUCCUUUGGUAUGUAUAUAUUUUCCCCAUUUGAUGUAGAUAUUCAUUUUCCUUA